Molecule: ribosomal RNA, 301 nt
Filed under: uncultured bacterium
Lineage: Bacteria
Description: partial 16S ribosomal RNA
Rfam family: Bacterial small subunit ribosomal RNA
Source: RNAcentral
CAGCUGCCGCGGUAAUACGGAGGGUGCAAGCGUUAUCCGGAUUUAUUGGGUUUAAAGGGUCCGUAGGCGGAUCUGUAAGUCAGUGGUGAAAUCUCACAGCUUAACUGUGAAACUGCCAUUGAUACUGCAGGUCUUGAGUAAAUUUGAAGUGGCUGGAAUAAGUAGUGUAGCGGUGAAAUGCAUAGAUAUUACUUAGAACACCAAUUGCGAAGGCAGGUCACUAAGAUUUAACUGACGCUGAUGGACGAAAGCGUGGGGAGCGAACAGGAUUAGAUACCCCCGUAGUCCCUGUCUCUUAUAC